This 496-nucleotide ribosomal RNA is filed under the name uncultured bacterium. RNAcentral describes it as "partial 16S ribosomal RNA". It matches the Rfam family "Bacterial small subunit ribosomal RNA", at positions 28 to 506 of the family's 1533-position model. The record is from RNAcentral.
GAUGAACGCUGGCGGCGUGCCUAAUACAUGCAAGUCGAGCGAACGGACGAGAAGCUUGCUUCUCUGAUGUUAGCGGCGGACGGGUGAGUAACACGUGGAUAACCUACCUAUAAGACUGGGAUAACUUCGGGAAACCGGAGCUAAUACCGGAUAAUAUUUUGAACCGCAUGGUUCAAAAGUGGAAGACGGUCUUGCUGUCACUUAUAGAUGGAUCCGCGCUGCAUUAGCUAGUUGGUAAGGUAACGGCUUACCAAGGCAACGAUGCAUAGCCGACCUGAGAGGGGGAUCGGCCACACGGGAACUGAGACACGGUCCAGACUCCUAGGGGAGGCAGCAGUAGGGAAUCUUCCGCAAUGGGCGAAAGCCUGCCGGAGCAACGCCGCGUGAGUGAUGAAGGUCUUCGGAUCGUAAAACUCUGUUAUUAGGGAAGAACAUAUGUGUAAGUAACUGUGCACAUCUUGACGGUACCUAAUCAGAAAGCCACGGCUAACUACGU